GCUUACGGCCAUACCACCCUGAAUGCGCCCGAUCUCGUCUGAUCUCGGAAGCUAAGCAGGGUCAGGCCUGGUUAGUACUUGGAUGGGAGACCGCCUGGGAAUACCAGGUGCUGUAUGCU
Molecule: ribosomal RNA, 119 nt
Filed under: Larimichthys crocea (large yellow croaker)
Lineage: Eukaryota; Metazoa; Chordata; Actinopteri; Sciaenidae
Source: RNAcentral